CAGCAGCAGCCGCGGUAAAACAGAGGGUGCGAGCGUUAAUCGGAUUUACUGGGCGUAAAGCGUGCGUAGGCGGCUAAUUGAGUCGGAUGUGAAAUCCCCGAGCUUAACUUGGGAAUUGCAUUCGAUACUGGUUAGCUAGAGUGUGGGAGAGGAUGGUAGAAUUCCAGGUGUAGCGGUGAAAUGCGUAGAGAUCUGGAGGAAUACCGAUGGCGAAGGCAGCCAUCUGGCCUAACACUGACGCUGAGGUACGAAAGCAUGGGGAGCAAACAGGAUUAGAUACCCCGGUAGUCCCUGUCUCUUAUAC
This 304-nucleotide ribosomal RNA is filed under the name uncultured bacterium. RNAcentral's name for it is "partial 16S ribosomal RNA". It matches the Rfam family "Bacterial small subunit ribosomal RNA", at positions 506 to 807 of the family's 1533-position model. The record is from RNAcentral.